GACUAUGAUUGUGAUAUCCUAUACCAUCCAGGUAAUGGCAACGUGGUAGCCGAUGCCCUCAGCAGGAAAAGUGCAGGCACCCUAGCCCAUUUGAUGGUUUCAGAAUGCAGGUCAAUUGGGGCCACGCAGCAGGUUCGACUGCGAGAUCUGAAGAGGGCCACAUGUUUGGGCCACCUAGCAGUCCAACCCGAGUUAAUCCAAAGAAUAAAGAAAGC
RNAcentral lists this long non-coding RNA (215 nucleotides) under Carica papaya (papaya). RNAcentral describes it as "long non-coding RNA (CPAP_LNC012480)". The record is from RNAcentral. Lineage: Eukaryota; Viridiplantae; Streptophyta; Magnoliopsida; Brassicales; Caricaceae.